GACGAACGCUGGCGGCGUGCUUAACACAUGCAAGUCGAACGGCAAGGCCCUUCGGGGUACACGAGUGGCGAACGGGUGAGUAACACGUGGGUGAUCUGCCCUGCACUUCGGGAUAAGCCUGGGAAACUGGGUCUAAUACCGGAUAGGACCACUGCCUGCAUGGGUGGUGGUGGAAAGCUUUUGCGGUGUGGGAUGGGCCCGCGGCCGAUCAGCUUGUUGGUGGGGUGAUGGCAUCCCAAGGCGACGACGGGUAGCCGGCCUGAGAGGGUGACCGGCCACACUGGGACUGGGAUACGGCCCAGACUCCUACGGGGGGCAGCAGUGGGGAAUAUUGCACAAUGGGCGCAAGCCUGAUGCAGCGACGCCGCGUGAGGGAUGACGGCCUUCGGGUUGUAAACCUCUUUCAGCACCGACGAAGCGCAAGUGACGGUAGGUGCAGAAGAAGGACCGGCCAACUACGUGCCAGCCGCCGCAGUAA
RNAcentral lists this ribosomal RNA (478 nucleotides) under uncultured bacterium. Its description in RNAcentral is "partial 16S ribosomal RNA". It matches the Rfam family "Bacterial small subunit ribosomal RNA", at positions 28 to 523 of the family's 1533-position model. The record is from RNAcentral.